Molecule: ribosomal RNA, 337 nt
Filed under: uncultured Anaerolineaceae bacterium
Lineage: Bacteria; Bacillati; Chloroflexota; Anaerolineae; Anaerolineales; Anaerolineaceae
Description: bacterial SSU rRNA
Rfam family: Bacterial small subunit ribosomal RNA
Source: RNAcentral
UAUACAGGUUGUUGCAUGGCUGUCGUCAGCUCGUGUCGUGAGAUGUUCGGUUAAGUCCGCUAACGAGCGCAACCCUCGUCGUAUGUUAUAUGUGUCAUACGAGACUGCCGGUAAAAGCCGGAGGAAGGUGAGGAUGAUGUCAAGUCAGCAUGACCUUUAUAUCCAGGGCUACACACACGCUACAAUGGUCUGUACAAUGGGUAGCCAAGCCGCGAGGCGGAGCCAAUCCUGAAAGCAGGCCUCAGUUCAGAUUGCAGUCUGCAACUCGACUGCAUGAAGCCGGAGUUGCUAGUAACCGCAGGUCAGCAAUACUGCGGUGAAUACGUUCCCGGGUCUU